GACGAACGCUGGCGGCGUGCCUAAUACAUGCAAGUAGAACGCACAGUUUAUACCGUAGCUUGCUACACCAUACACUGUGAGUUGCGAACGGGUGAGUAACGCGUAGGUAACCUGCCUGGUAGCGGGGGAUAACUAUUGGAAACGAUAGCUAAUACCGCAUAAUAUUGAUUAUUGCAUGAUAAUUGAUUGAAAGAUGCUAUUGCAUCACUACCAGAUGGACCUGCGUUGUAUUAGCUAGUAGGUGAGGUAACGGCUCACCUAGGCGACGAUACAUAGCCGAACUGAGAGGGUGGUCGGCCACACUGGGACUGAGACACGGCCCAGACUCCUACGGGAGGCAGCAGUAGGGAAUCUUCGGCAAUGGACGAAAGUCUGACCGAGCAACGCCGCGUGAGUGAAGAAGGUUUUCGGAUCGUAAAGCUCUGUUGUAAGAGAAGAACGGGUGUGAGAGUGGAAAGUUCACACUGUGACGGUAUCUUACCAGAAAGGGACGGCUAACUACGUG
This 505-nucleotide ribosomal RNA is filed under the name uncultured bacterium. RNAcentral's name for it is "partial 16S ribosomal RNA". It matches the Rfam family "Bacterial small subunit ribosomal RNA", at positions 28 to 507 of the family's 1533-position model. The record is from RNAcentral.